AGAGAGAGAGAGAGAGAGAGAGAGAAAUAUGUCCCACUCCUUUAUCAGCAUCCUGACUACUGAACUAGCCGAUUGAGACACAGCCAAGCUGAAGCAGAUGAAGUCGAGCUGAAUAAGAGCUGAAAAGAACUGAAUAAGAGCUGAAUAAGAGCUGAAAAGAACUGAAUAAGAACUGAAUAAGAACUGAAUAAGAACUGAAUAAGAGCUGAAAAGAACUGAAUAAGAACUGAAUAAGAGCUGAAUAAGAGCAGAACAGGAAAAAGGACGGACUCGUGUCACAGCCGGCGUGUGUCAGGGGGUUAGGGCUGCUUGAGCUCUCAAUCUCACUUGAAAUAAAUAACUUUCCCCUCAGGACCAGUGUCCUUUGGUAGAGCACAGACAAGAGGAAAGUAAAAGAAAUAAGAAAGGCGAGAUGACAUAUCCUGCGUGAUUGUUACGUCCACCUGAGGUGAAAUAACACACAUUAGGUUUUGUCCUUCAGAAGCCCCUGAGGUAAUAAACAACUAAACUCUGACAGCAGGGAAGUUUGCAGUUUGCCCUUUGAUUUGUUUGUGGAUUUAAACCCUCGUGUUUUUUUGUGCACUGCAAAGAAUUGUUCAGUGUUACCGUCGAUCACGGUUUUAUUUAAUUUGAUUGAUUUUUUUUUAUCCCUGACCUUGUCAUUCGCUCACCUGACCUCUGUGUAGCGUUUUCGAUUCUGACUCACAAUCGUCAGCUCGCUCUAUAAAUAAAAGGCUUUACCGCACCUG
Long non-coding RNA from Tachysurus fulvidraco (yellow catfish), 749 nucleotides. RefSeq lists it as uncharacterized. Lineage: Eukaryota; Metazoa; Chordata; Actinopteri; Siluriformes; Bagridae. The record is from RefSeq and is a predicted model, not a curated record. The transcript has 2 exons.